AGCGAACGCUGGCGGCAGGCCUAACACAUGCAAGUCGAACGAACUCUUCGGAGUUAGUGGCGGACGGGUGAGUAACACGUGGGAACGUGCCUUUUGGUUCGGAAUAACUCAGGGAAACUUGCGCUAAUACCGAAUGUGCCCUUCGGGGGAAAGAUUUAUCGCCAUUAGAGCGGCCCGCGUCUGAUUAGCUAGUUGGUGAGGUAACGGCUCACCAAGGAGACGAUCAGUAGCUGGUCUGAGAGGAUGACCAGCCACACUGGGACUGAGACACGGCCUAGACUCCUACGGGAGGCAGCAGUGGGGAAUCUUGCGAAAGGGGCGAAAGCCUGACGCAGCCAUGCCGCGUGAAUGAUGAAGGUCUUAGGAUUGUAAAAUUCUUUCACCGGGGACGAUAAUGACGGUACCCUGAGAAGAAGCCCCGGCUAACUUCGUG
This 433-nucleotide ribosomal RNA is filed under the name uncultured bacterium. Its description in RNAcentral is "partial 16S ribosomal RNA". It matches the Rfam family "Bacterial small subunit ribosomal RNA", at positions 29 to 507 of the family's 1533-position model. The record is from RNAcentral.